AUCUACGGCCAUAUCACCCUGAACGCUCCCGAUCUCGUCUGAUCUCGGAAGCUAAGCAGGGUCGGGCCUGGUUAGUACUUGGAUGGGAAGAGAGUAAAACUUUUCCAAUUGUUCUGCUAAUUGCCUUCUGUUGAGC
RNAcentral lists this ribosomal RNA (136 nucleotides) under Prolemur simus (greater bamboo lemur). Lineage: Eukaryota; Metazoa; Chordata; Mammalia; Primates; Lemuridae. The record is from RNAcentral.